UACGUAUGGAGCAAGCGUUAUCCGGAUUUACUGGGUGUAAAGGGAGCGUAGGCGGCUCUGUAAGUCUGAUGUGAAAAUUUGGGGCUCAACCCCAAACGUGCAUUGGAAACUGCAGGGCUUGAGUGCCGGAGAGGCAGGCGGAAUUCCUAGUGUAGCGGUGAAAUGCGUAGAUAUUAGGAGGAACACCAGUGGCGAAGGCGGCCUGCUGGACGGUAACUGACGCUGAGGCUCGGAAGCGUGGGGAGCAAACAGG
Molecule: ribosomal RNA, 253 nt
Filed under: uncultured bacterium
Lineage: Bacteria
Description: partial 16S ribosomal RNA
Rfam family: Bacterial small subunit ribosomal RNA
Source: RNAcentral